Molecule: ribosomal RNA, 253 nt
Filed under: uncultured bacterium
Lineage: Bacteria
Description: partial 16S ribosomal RNA
Rfam family: Bacterial small subunit ribosomal RNA
Source: RNAcentral
UACAGAGGUCCCGAGCGUUGUUCGGAUUUAUUGGGCGUAAAGGGUGCGUAGGCGGCGGAGUAAGUUGGGUGUGAAAGCCCGGGGCUCAACCCCGGGAGGCGGAUGGAUACUGUCAGGCUCGAGUCCGGAAGAGGCAAGUGGAAUUCCCGGUGUAGCGGUGAAAUGCGCAGAUAUCGGGAGGAACACCAAUGGCGAAGGCAGCUUGCUGGGACGGUACUGACGCUGAGACGCGAAAGCGUGGGGAGCAAACAGG